RNAcentral lists this ribosomal RNA (484 nucleotides) under uncultured bacterium. Its description in RNAcentral is "partial 16S ribosomal RNA". It matches the Rfam family "Bacterial small subunit ribosomal RNA", at positions 29 to 507 of the family's 1533-position model. The record is from RNAcentral.
AUUGAACGCUAGCGGGAUGCUUUACACAUGCAAGUCGAACGGCAGCGCGGACUUCGGUCUGGCGGCGAGUGGCGAACGGGUGAGUAAUGUAUCGGAACGUGCCCAGUAGCGGGGGAUAACUACGCGAAAGCGUAGCUAAUACCGCAUACGCCCUACGGGGGAAAGCAGGGGAUCGUAAGACCUUGCACUAUUGGAGCGGCCGAUAUCGGAUUAGCUAGUUGGUGGGGUAACGGCUCACCAAGGCGACGAUCCGCAGCUGGUUUGAGAGGACGACCAGCCACACUGGGACUGAGACAGGGACCAGACUCCUGCGGGAGGCAGCAGUGGGGAAUUUUGGACAAUGGGGGCAACCCUGAUCCAGCCAUCCCGCGUGUGAGAUGAAGGCCUUCGGGUUGUAAAGCACUUUUGGCAGGAAAGAAACGUCGCGGGCUAAUACCCCGUGGAACUGACGGUACCUGCAGAAUAAGCACCGGCUAACUACGUG